This 734-nucleotide ribosomal RNA is filed under the name uncultured Lachnospiraceae bacterium. RNAcentral describes it as "bacterial SSU rRNA". It matches the Rfam family "Bacterial small subunit ribosomal RNA", at positions 45 to 776 of the family's 1533-position model. The record is from RNAcentral. Lineage: Bacteria; Bacillati; Bacillota; Clostridia; Lachnospirales; Lachnospiraceae.
UGCCUAACACAUGCAAGUCGAACGGAACUGUUUUGAAAGAUUUCUUCGGAAUGAAUUUGAUUUAGUUUAGUGGCGGACGGGUGAGUAACGCGUGAGUAACCUGCCUUCAAGAGGGGGAUAACAUUCUGAAAAGAAUGCUAAUACCGCAUGAUAUAUCGGAACCACAUGAUUUUGAUAUCAAAGAUUUUAUCGCUUGAAGAUGGACUCGCGUCCGAUUAGUUAGUUGGUGAGGUAACGGCUCACCAAGACCGCGAUCGGUAGCCGGACUGAGAGGUUGAACGGCCACAUUGGGACUGAGACACGGCCCAGACUCCUACGGGAGGCAGCAGUGGGGGAUAUUGCGCAAUGGGGGCAACCCUGACGCAGCAACGCCGCGUGAAGGAUGAAGGUUUUCGGAUUGUAAACUUCUUUUAUUAAGGACGAAAAUUGACGGUACUUAAUGAAUAAGCUCCGGCUAACUACGUGCCAGCAGCCGCGGUAAUACGUAGGGAGCAAGCGUUGUCCGGAUUUACUGGGUGUAAAGGGUGCGUAGGCGGCUUUGCAAGUCAGAUGUGAAAUCUAUGGGCUCAACCCAUAAACUGCAUUUGAAACUGUAGAGCUUGAGUGAAGUAGAGGCAGGCGGAAUUCCCCGUGUAGCGGUGAAAUGCGUAGAGACGGGGAGGAACACCAGUGGCGAAGGCGGCCUGCUGGGCUUUAACUGACGCUGAGGCACGAAAGCGUGGGUAGCAAACAGG